Molecule: ribosomal RNA, 468 nt
Filed under: uncultured bacterium
Lineage: Bacteria
Description: partial 16S ribosomal RNA
Rfam family: Bacterial small subunit ribosomal RNA
Source: RNAcentral
GACGAACGCUGGCGGCGUGCUUAACACAUGCAAGUCGAACGGAAAGGCCCUGCUUUUGUGGGGUUCUCGAGUGGCGAACGGGUGCGUAACACGUGAGUAACCUGCCCUUGACUUUGGGAUAACUUCAGGAAACUGGGGCUAAUACCGGAUAGGAGCUCCUGCUGCAUGGUGGGGGUGGGAAAGUCUCGGCGGUCGGGGAUGGACUCGCGGCUUAUCAGCUUGUUGGUGGGGUAGUGGCUUACCCAGGCUUUGACGGGUAGCCGGCCUGAGAGGGUGAACGGGCACAUUGGGACUGAGAGACGGCGCAGACUGCUACGGGAGGCAGCAGUGGGGAAUAUUGCACAAUGGGCGGAAGCCUGAUGCAGCAACGCCGCGUGCGGGAUGACGGCCUUCGGGUUGUAAACCGCUUUCGCCUGUGACGAAGCGUGAGUGACGGUAAUGGGUAAAGAAGCACCGGCUAACUACGUG